GAAAAAUGAAAAAUGGGCAAAAAAUGUGUGGUGCACGGCUGCGGAAGCCGAACCGGAGAUACGGUUUCAUUUUAUGGAUUUCCGAACGAUCCUGACACUGAAAAGGUUAUUCUCGAGGCUAUUCAAGUAAAAUUCCUCCCGCGAAUCCCUGAAAAUGAUCAAUAUGUGCAAUUCGAUUCUAAUGGAAGCCAGCCAGGAGAUACCGAACCAUUUGCUGGAGAAAAAGUCGAUUGGUACAACGAACGUGGAACAAUCCCAAAUCGGUGCCGAUAGAAAGAAACGAAGGACAAACUAUAAUAAUUGAACUAUUAGGAGCAAGAAAACAAUCUGCGUUUCAGUGCCACCUCGCGGUAGAACAGAAAAUGAGCUUACUGGCAAAAAACCAGACAUCUCAGUGUUUGAUGAAGAACUGUGCCCUGCAUUAAACCACGAAGACCCC
This is a long non-coding RNA of Armigeres subalbatus, 439 nucleotides long. RefSeq lists it as uncharacterized. Lineage: Eukaryota; Metazoa; Arthropoda; Insecta; Diptera; Culicidae. The transcript is spliced from 3 exons. The record is from RefSeq and is a predicted model, not a curated record.